RNAcentral lists this long non-coding RNA (526 nucleotides) under Rhinopithecus bieti (black snub-nosed monkey). Its description in RNAcentral is "lncRNA (ENSRBIG00000045663.1)". The record is from RNAcentral. Lineage: Eukaryota; Metazoa; Chordata; Mammalia; Primates; Cercopithecidae.
CCCGGCUAAUUUUGUAUUUUAGUAGAGACAGGGUUUCACCAUGUUGGCCAGGCUGGUCUCGAACUCCUGACCUCAAGUGAUCUGCCCACCUCGGCCUCCCAAAGCGCUGGAAUUAUAGGCGUGAGCCAUGGCGCCCGGCCAGCACUGAUUUUUAAAAGUACUCAUAUGGUUCUUCUCACUUCCAAUUGUGAAUGUCUUCCCUCCUCCAUUCAUUGUAAAAUACCCAAAGGCAGAGAUGCACAUUGUUUAUACUUCUCUGUGUCUUGCCCAAAGCCCUGUGUGUGGAGGCCACUGUCAAGCUGAAAGGACAAGAUGUCUGCACCUUUCACUCAUUUAUGAUGCCGGUAAAAAGAAAACCAGAGCUGGCCGUUCUCAAAUCCUUUACAACUGCUCCUCCCGGGUUCUCUGUGUUUGCAGAUGUAAAUGCUAAAGGUUUUUUUCCCUCACCUCCAGUUCAAAAGGCACCAUUGCUUGUUGACAUCUUCUAUCUCCAAACCUAAUAAUGCUACUUGACCAGUUAAAGAUA